GCGUGAGUGAUGAAGGCCCUAGGGUUGUAAAGCUCUUUCAGCAGGGAAGAUGAUGACGGUACCUGCAGAAGAAGCCCCGGCUAACUCCGUGCCAGCAGCCGCGGUAAUACGGAGGGGGCUAGCGUUGUUCGGAUUUACUGGGCGUAAAGCGCGCGUAGGCGGCUUGGAAAGUUGGGAGUGAAAGCCCGGGGCUCAACCCCGGAACUGCUCUCAAAACUUCCAAGCUAGAGAUCUGGAGAGGAGGGUGGAAUUCCAAGUGUAGAGGUGAAAUUCGU
RNAcentral lists this ribosomal RNA (275 nucleotides) under uncultured bacterium. RNAcentral's name for it is "partial 16S ribosomal RNA". It matches the Rfam family "Bacterial small subunit ribosomal RNA", at positions 399 to 691 of the family's 1533-position model. The record is from RNAcentral.